AGGACACUCUAUACGGAGUUACAAAGGACGACAUUAGACGAAUCAUCUGGAAAGAUGAAUCAAAGAAGGUAAUAAUCCUGUAGUCGAAAAUGUUGUCUCUCUUGAGUGGAUCCUGAGUACGACGGAGCACGUGAAAUUCCGUCGGAAUCUGGGAGGACCAUCUCCUAAGGCUAAAUACUCUCUAGUGACCGAUAGUGAACCAGUACCGUGAGGGAAAGGUGAAAAGCACCCCGGAAGGGGAGUGAAAUAGAACCUGAAACCGUGUGCUUACAAGUAGUCAGAGCCCGUUAAUGGGUGAUGGCGUGCCUUUUGUAGAAUGAACCGGCGAGUUACGAUUUGAUGCAAGGUUAAGCAGUAAAUGUGGAGCCGUAGCGAAAGCGAGUCUGAAUAGGGCGUUUAGUAUUUGGUCGUAGACCCGAAACCAGGUGAUCUACCCUUGGUCAGGUUGAAGUUCAGGUAACACUGAAUGGAGGACCGAACCGACUUACGUUGAAAAGUGAGCGGAUGAACUGAGGGUAGCGGAGAAAUUCCAAUCGAACCUGGAGAUAGCUGGUUCUCUCCGAAAUAGCUUUAGGGCUAGCCUCAAGUGAUGAUUAUUGGAGGUAGAGCACUGUUUGGACGAGGGGCCCCUCUCGGGUUACCGAAUUCAGACAAACUCCGAAUGCCAAUUAAUUUAACUUGGGAGUCAGAACAUGGGUGAUAAGGUCCGUGUUCGAAAGGGAAACAGCCCAGACCACCAGCUAAGGUCCCAAAAUAUAUGUUAAGUGGAAAAGGAUGUGGCGUUGCCCAGACAACUAGGAUGUUGGCUUAGAAGCAGCCAUCAUUUAAAGAGUGCGUAAUAGCUCACUAGUCGAGUGACACUGCGCCGAAAAUGUACCGGGGCUAAACAUAUUACCGAAGCUGUGGAUUGUCCUUUGGACAAUGGUAGGAGAGCGUUCUAAGGGCGUUGAAGCAUGAUCGUAAGGACAUGUGGAGCGCUUAGAAGUGAGAAUGCCGGUGUGAGUAGCGAAAGACGGGUGAGAAUCCCGUCCACCGAUUGACUAAGGUUUCCAGAGGAAGGCUCGUCCGCUCUGGGUUAGUCGGGUCCUAAGCUGAGGCCGACAGGCGUAGGCGAUGGAUAACAGGUUGAUAUUCCUGUACCACCUAUAAUCGUUUUAAUCGAUGGGGGGACGCAGUAGGAUAGGCGAAGCGUGCGAUUGGAUUGCACGUCUAAGCAGUAAGGCUGAGUAUUAGGCAAAUCCGGUACUC
RNAcentral lists this ribosomal RNA (1248 nucleotides) under Staphylococcus aureus. RNAcentral describes it as "partial 23S ribosomal RNA". It matches the Rfam family "Bacterial large subunit ribosomal RNA", at positions 296 to 1550 of the family's 2925-position model. Lineage: Bacteria; Bacillati; Bacillota; Bacilli; Caryophanales; Staphylococcaceae. The record is from RNAcentral.